AUAUAAGACUACAAUGGAUAGAACGACCGCCUCCUAAGCGCUAGAUACAGGUUCGAUUCCUGUUGGUGUACCA
RNAcentral lists this transfer RNA (73 nucleotides) under Hydrogenophaga sp. IBVHS1. RNAcentral describes it as "tRNA-Arg". The record is from RNAcentral. Lineage: Bacteria; Pseudomonadati; Pseudomonadota; Betaproteobacteria; Burkholderiales; Comamonadaceae.